Molecule: unclassified non-coding RNA, 237 nt
Filed under: fungal sp.
Lineage: Eukaryota; Fungi
Description: partial internal transcribed spacer region
Rfam family: Eukaryotic small subunit ribosomal RNA (bases 1-46)
Source: RNAcentral
AAGUCGUAACAAGGUAUCCGUAGGUGAACCUGCGGAUGGAUCAUUAAGAGGUUCGCAGCAGCAGCCCUGUCGCAGACCCCUGUGGUGCAACGAGUGUAGUCUUGGCGGCGAUGUGUACACGCACGCGCCGCCGACGCAGACCAAACCAACCCUAUUCGACUAACCAGCUGUUCAGGUUGCGCUAUCUCGAUAGCACCUCAAUCGAUACAACUGCUAGCAACGGAUCACUCGGCUCUC